AUGCUCUGUCGACGAUGCCACGCCCGCUGUAAGCUUGUUGGGCUGCCCUUAGAAGAUCUCCCUAUCACCUACUUGGGCAUCCCACUAACGCUGCGCUGCCCCACUGCUGCACAAUUGCAACCCAUCGCUGACAAAACGGCCUGCAUGCUACCUAGUUGGAAGGCGUGCCUCAUGAACAAGGCCGACCGCCUUGUGUUCGUAAAGGCCGUCCUGAGCACGAUCCCGAUCCAUCAGCUACUUGCUCUGGCGCCCCCCAAGAAAACCAUCAGGGCGCUCGAAAAGAUCCAGAGAGGCUUCCUCUGGGCCGGGCGCGUGGAGGCGAACGGUGGGCACUGCCAUGUCAACUAG
RNAcentral lists this ribosomal RNA (348 nucleotides) under Triticum aestivum (bread wheat). RNAcentral's name for it is "partial small subunit ribosomal RNA". The record is from RNAcentral. Lineage: Eukaryota; Viridiplantae; Streptophyta; Magnoliopsida; Poales; Poaceae.